UGGAGGAAAGCAGGGGAUCGUAAGACCUUGCGCUUUUGGAGCGGCCGAUGUCUGAUUAGCUAGUUGGUGGGGUAAUGGCUUACCAAAGCUUCGAUCAGUAGCUGGUCUGAGAGGACGGCCAGCCACACUGGGACUGAGACACGGCCCAGACUCCUACGGGAGGCAGCAGUGGGGAAUUUUGGACAAUGGGCGCAAGCCUGAUCCAGCCAUGCCGCGUGAGUGAAGAAGGCCUUCGGGUUGUAAAGCUCUUUCAGCCGGGAAGAAAAGGCUGCGACUAAUAAUCGCAGUUCAUGACGGUACCGGAAGAAGAAGCACCGGCUAACUACGUGCCAGCAGCCGCGGUAAUACGUAGGGUGCGAGCGUUAAUCGGAAUUACUGGGCGUAAAGGGUGCGCAGGCGGUUUUGUAAGUCAGAUGUGA
Molecule: ribosomal RNA, 419 nt
Filed under: uncultured ammonia-oxidizing beta proteobacterium
Lineage: Bacteria; Pseudomonadati; Pseudomonadota; Betaproteobacteria
Description: bacterial SSU rRNA
Rfam family: Bacterial small subunit ribosomal RNA
Source: RNAcentral